CUGUGAGCUCGAUGAGUAGGGCGGGACACGUGGUAUCCUGUCUGAAUAUGGGGGGACCAUCCUCCAAGGCUAAAUACUCCUGACUGACCGAUAGUGAACCAGUACCGUGAGGGAAAGGCGAAAAGAACCCCGGCGAGGGGAGUGAAAAAGAACCUGAAACCGUGUACGUACAAGCAGUGGGAGCACAGAGCAAUCUGUGUGACUGCGUACCUUUUGUAUAAUGGGUCAGCGACUUAUAUUCUGUAGCAAGGUUAACCGAAUAGGGGAGCCGAAGGGAAACCGAGUCUUAACUGGGCGUUAAGUUGCAGGGUAUAGACCCGAAACCCGGUGAUCUAGCCAUGGGCAGGUUGAAGGUUGGGUAACACUAACUGGAGGACCGAACCGACUAAUGUUGAAAAAUUAGCGGAUGACUUGUGGCUGGGGGGGAAAGGCCAAUCAAACCGGGAGAUAGCUGGUUCUCCCCGAAAGCUAUUUAGGUAGCGCCUCGUGAAUUCAUCUCCGGGGGUAGAGCACUGUUUCGGCAAGGGGGUCAUCCCGACUUACCAACCCGAUGCAAACUGCGAAUACCGGAGAAUGUUAUCACGGGAGACACACGGCGGGUGCUAACGUCCGUCGUGAAGAGGGAAACAACCCAGACCGCCAGCUAAGGUCCCAAAGUCAUGGUUAAGUGGGAAACGAUGUGGGAAGGCCCAGACAGCCAGGAUGUUGGCUUAGAAGCAGCCAUCAUUUAAAGAAAGCGUAAUAGCUCACUGGUCGAGUCGGCCUGCGCGGAAGAUGUAACGGGGCUAAACCAUGCACCGAAGCUGCGGCAGCGACGCUGAUGCGUUGUUGGGUAGGGGAGCGUUCUGUAAGCCUGUGAAGGUGUGCUGUGAGGCAUGCUGGAGGUAUCAGAAGUGCGAAUGCUGACAUAAGUAACGAUAAAGCGGGUGAAAAGCCCGCUCGCCGGAAGACCAAGGGUUCCUGUCCAACGUUAAUCGGGGCAGGGUGAGUCGACCCCUAAGGCGAGGCCGAAAGGCGUAGUCGAUGGGAAACAGGUUAAUAUUCCUGUACUUGGUGUUACUGCGAAGGGGGGACGGAGAAGGCUAUGUUGGCCGGGCGACGGUUGUCCCGGUUUAAGCGUGUAGGCUGGUUUUCCAGGCAAAUCCGGAAAAUCAAGGCUGAGGCGUGAUGACGAGGCACUACGGUGCUGAAGCAACAAAUGCCCUGCUUCCAGGAAAAGCCUCUAAGCAUCAGGUAACAUCAAAUCGUACCCCAAACCGACACAGGUGGUCAGGUAGAGAAUACCAAGGCGCUUGAGAGAACUCGGGUGAAGGAACUAGGCAAAAUGGUGCCGUAACUUCGGGAGAAGGCACGCUGAUAUGUAGGUGAAGUCCCUCGCGGAUGGAGCUGAAAUCAGUCGAAGAUACCAGCUGGCUGCAACUGUUUAUUAAAAACACAGCACUGUGCAAACACGAAAGUGGACGUAUACGGUGUGACGCCUGCCCGGUGCCGGAAGGUUAAUUGAUGGGGUUAGCGCAAGCGAAGCUCUUGAUCGAAGCCCCGGUAAACGGCGGCCGUAACUAUAACGGUCCUAAGGUAGCGAAAUUCCUUGUCGGGUAAGUUCCGACCUGCACGAAUGGCGUAAUGAUGGCCAGGCUGUCUCCACCCGAGACUCAGUGAAAUUGAACUCGCUGUGAAGAUGCAGUGUACCCGCGGCAAGACGGAAAGACCCCGUGAACCUUUACUAUAGCUUGACACUGAACAUUGAGCCUUGAUGUGUAGGAUAGGUGGGAGGCUUUGAAGUGUGGACGCCAGUCUGCAUGGAGCCGACCUUGAAAUACCACCCUUUAAUGUUUGAUGUUCUAACGUUGACCCGUAAUCCGGGUUGCGGACAGUGUCUGGUGGGUAGUUUGACUGGGGCGGUCUCCUCCUAAAGAGUAACGGAGGAGCACGAAGGUUGGCUAAUCCUGGUCGGACAUCAGGAGGUUAGUGCAAUGGCAUAAGCCAGCUUGACUGCGAGCGUGACGGCGCGAGCAGGUGCGAAAGCAGGUCAUAGUGAUCCGGUGGUUCUGAAUGGAAGGGCCAUCGCUCAACGGAUAAAAGGUACUCCGGGGAUAACAGGCUGAUACCGCCCAAGAGUUCAUAUCGACGGCGGUGUUUGGCACCUCGAUGUCGGCUCAUCACAUCCUGGGGCUGAAGUAGGUCCCAAGGGUAUGGCUGUUCGCCAUUUAAAGUGGUACGCGAGCUGGGUUUAGAACGUCGUGAGACAGUUCGGUCCCUAUCUGCCGUGGGCGCUGGAGAACUGAGGGGGGCUGCUCCUAGUACGAGAGGACCGGAGUGGACGCAUCACUGGUGUUCGGGUUGUCAUGCCAAUGGCACUGCCCGGUAGCUAAAUGCGGAAGAGAUAAGUGCUGAAAGCAUCUAAGCACGAAACUUGCCCCGAGAUGAGUUCUCCCUGACUCCUUGAGAGUCCUGAAGGAACGUUGAAGACGACGACGUUGAUAGGCCGGAUGUGUAAGCGCAGCGAUGCGUUGAGCUAACCGGUACUAAUGAACCGUGAGGCUUAACCUU
RNAcentral lists this ribosomal RNA (2550 nucleotides) under Escherichia coli KTE91. RNAcentral describes it as "bacterial LSU rRNA". It matches the Rfam family "Bacterial large subunit ribosomal RNA", at positions 397 to 2925 of the family's 2925-position model. The record is from RNAcentral. Lineage: Bacteria; Pseudomonadati; Pseudomonadota; Gammaproteobacteria; Enterobacterales; Enterobacteriaceae.